RNAcentral lists this ribosomal RNA (365 nucleotides) under uncultured eukaryote. Its description in RNAcentral is "LSU rRNA". It matches the Rfam family "Bacterial large subunit ribosomal RNA", at positions 2122 to 2486 of the family's 2925-position model. The record is from RNAcentral.
AUUGGACUUUAUUUGCGCAGCAUAGGUGGGAGGCAUUGAGUUUAUUCUUGCGGGAAUUUAGGAGCCAUCAGUGAGAUACCACUCUGGUAAUGUUAGAUUUCUAACUUUGUAUCAUGAUCUGGUCAAAGAACAGUUUCAGGCGGGCAGUUUGACUGGGGCGGUCGCCUCCCAAAUGGUAACGGAGGCGUACAAAGGUAUCCUCUGAACGUGUAGAAAUCGUAUCUAGAGUGUAAAGGCAUAAGGAAGCUUGACUGUGAGACCUACAAGUCGAGCAGGGACGAAAGUCGGUCUUAGUGAUCUGACGGUGCUGAGUGGAAAGGCCGUCACUCAACGGAUAAAAGUUACUCUAGGGAUAACAGGCUGAA